AGUGUUCCAACCACAUGGCCAGAGAGAGAAUCGGGAAGAGGGAGGGAAGAAGUGAUAUGGAAAGCCAUGGAGAAAAACAAAGGGUCCUGUGUUCAGGAAUUUGCCCGCGUACUGACUCAAUCAAUACUUAACGUGGGUAAAAAGGAACCUCUCACCAAGACUGCAUUCCACAUGGACUUAUUACACGGACAAUACAUCUCCUGCAGCUGUCCCCAAGAGAUGGAGAUGGAACAGAAGACAACCAGCUAUCUACAGGAUUUCUUUCAUGUGGGCCUGUUUACAAGAAAGAUUUUUUCUCUGCGGCGCAGCACGCUCGAGUUUUUCCUCACAUGACGUUAGCCCUCACCCGGUUGCCAGAAUCCAUGAAAGAAGUGGUGCUCUGUGCCAGCUUGCUGCUGCAAUAUUCUCUAACUCCGGAUCAAUGGAUCCGAGCUAAUCUGUCAAACCGAGCAGGCCGCCUCAAGACUCCUUCACCCGCUGUACGUUUUCCCCCCCCCCCAAAAAAGGUCCUCACAGUUUUCCCCCAAAACAUUGAUACGAUUAACAAGAGACAUGGCGUGUAAACAAGUAGCAGAACUGGGUCAAGGAUAUCACACAGCCACCGCAUCCCCGAUCCUGCUGCGCAGUACCUGGGAGCUCCACCGGGAGCCGCUGCCGAUCCAUCUGUGCUGUUAGUGAGAGGCAGAAGAAGGGAAAAGACAGUGUGUGUGUGUGUGGGUCCGUGUGUUUGUGUGUGUGGUAGGGGGGGGGGGCAAGAGGGGAGGUGAAAAAGAUCUCAAUGUAUUAGAUCAGCUACCCCACUGGUUUUGUAUACCGACAGCUGUGCUCCAUAACCCAUUUAGACGAGAUUAAAAGUCCAAACAUAUCAACAAAUAGACAAUCUGCACAUUUUUGUUCAGUCAUACAGCCCCCGCCCCCCCCCCCGGCUCCCCCCCCCCC
This is a long non-coding RNA of Gasterosteus aculeatus aculeatus (three-spined stickleback), 939 nucleotides long. Lineage: Eukaryota; Metazoa; Chordata; Actinopteri; Perciformes; Gasterosteidae. The record is from Ensembl.